This 503-nucleotide ribosomal RNA is filed under the name uncultured bacterium. RNAcentral's name for it is "bacterial SSU rRNA". It matches the Rfam family "Bacterial small subunit ribosomal RNA", at positions 1009 to 1518 of the family's 1533-position model. The record is from RNAcentral.
GGGAAAUCCCUUCGGGGACAUAUAGACAGGUGGUGCAUGGUUGUCGUCAGCUCGUGUCGUGAGAUGUUGGGUUAAGUCCCGCAACGAGCGCAACCCUUACCUUUAGUUGCUACGCAAGAGCACUCUAGAGGGACUGCCGUUGACAAAACGGAGGAAGGUGGGGAUGACGUCAAAUCAUCAUGCCCCUUAUGACCUGGGCUACACACGUACUACAAUGGCAAUUAACAGAGGGAAGCAAAACAGCGAUGUGGAGCAAAUCCCGAAAAAUUGUCCCAGUUCAGAUUGCAGGCUGAAACUCGCCUGCAUGAAGUCGGAAUUGCUAGUAAUCGCAGAUCAGAAUGCUGCGGUGAAUACGUUCCCGGGCCUUGUACACACCGCCCGUCACACCAUGGGAGUCGGUAACACCCGAAGCCGAUAGUCUAACCGCAAGGAGGACGUCGUCGAAGGUGGGAUUGAUGACUGGGGUGAAGUCGUAACAAGGUAGCCGUAUCGGAAGGUGCGGU